Molecule: unclassified non-coding RNA, 142 nt
Filed under: uncultured Devriesia
Lineage: Eukaryota; Fungi; Ascomycota; Dothideomycetes; Mycosphaerellales; Teratosphaeriaceae
Description: sequence contains ITS2
Source: RNAcentral
ACACCCUCAAGCCUGGCUUGGUAUUGGGCGCCGGGACUUCUUCCCGCGCCCCGAUUUCGCCGGCUGGACGACUCCGAUCUCUCAAGCGUUGUACAAUCUCGCUGGCGAGACGGGCGGCCACGCCGUAAACCUUUAAUCAAAU